CUAGUUGGUGAGGUAACGGCUCACCAAGGCGACGAUGCGUAGCCGACCUGAGAGGGUGAUCGGCCACAUUGGAACUGAGAUACGGUCCAAACUCCUACGGGAGGCAGCAGUGGGGAAUAUUGCACAAUGGGCGAAAGCCUGAUGCAGCAACGCCGCGUGAGUGAUGAAGGCCUUCGGGUUGUAAAGCUCUGUCUUUGGGGACGAUAAUGACGGUACCCAAGGAGGAAGCCACGGCUAACUACGUGCCAGCAGCCGCGGUAAUACGUAGGUGGCAAGCGUUGUCCGGAUUUACUGGGCGUAAAGGAUGCGUAGGUGGAUAUUUAAGUCAGAUGUGAAAUACCCGAGCUCAACUUGGGUGCUGCAUUUGAAACUGGAUAUCUAGAGUGCAGGAGAGGUAAGUGGAAUUCCUAGUGUAGCGGUGAAAUGCGUAGAGAUUAGGAAGAACACCAGUGGCGAAGGCGACUUACUGGACUGUAACUGACACUGAGGCAUGAAAGCGUGGGGAGCAAACAGGAUUAGAUACCCUGGUAGUCCACGCCGUAAACGAUGAGUACUAGGUGUAGGAGGUAUCGACUCCUUCUGUGCCGCAGUUAACACAAUAAGUACUCCGCCUGGGAAGUACGGUCGCAAGAUUAAAACUCAAAGGAAUUGACG
RNAcentral lists this ribosomal RNA (654 nucleotides) under uncultured Bacillota bacterium. RNAcentral's name for it is "SSU rRNA". It matches the Rfam family "Bacterial small subunit ribosomal RNA", at positions 245 to 915 of the family's 1533-position model. The record is from RNAcentral. Lineage: Bacteria; Bacillati; Bacillota.